Long non-coding RNA from Panicum virgatum (switchgrass), 651 nucleotides. RefSeq lists it as uncharacterized. The transcript has 2 exons. NCBI's taxonomy places the organism in Eukaryota, Viridiplantae, Streptophyta, Magnoliopsida, Poales, Poaceae. The record is from RefSeq and is a predicted model, not a curated record.
CUACCAUACUAUACGGCCAUAUAUACGACCGGAUCUCGUACGCAUACGCCUCCCCUCUCCCUCCGCAAAGCCUUUCGCGCAAAACCUCUCGAGCUCUUUCAGCGGGAAUUGUUGUCUCUGCUGACGCGUCUCCCGCGUUUCGGCGGAUCGCUCCCCUGCGCUUCGAGUUCCGUAUGGUUUUUAUGGUACUGCCUAGGAGAUGAAGCGGCUGAGGUUCUGUCUGUCCCUGAUCCGUAACCAAAUCCAGUAGGAGAGGGAGGGAGAGAGAAGGGCUGGAGGGACGGACGGAGAAGAGAGUAAGAGCUCGAUCGGACAGAAGGCCAUGCAACAUCUGCCUCUGUGAUCCCAACUGGCACUUGUUGUGGUGGCAGUUGAUUUGGAAGAGGGAGGUGCCGACAUCUGGAAAGAAGAGUUGGUUAAUAACGGCGAAGGCUCCUAGAUGUGUUAGAACAUCUCAUGUGUUAAAUCUGUACACAUUACAAUUCCAGGUUUUGUGACUGACAUGGACUCGGCUAGAUAGUUAGAGAUAGAUUUAUUUCAUGUAACAAGCCGAGUCCUACUCUUCUACAACAACCUGCCCAAUGUAAUCCUGAUGCAUAUAAAUCAACACGUAGCCGUGGUCGGCCAGGCUAGGCAACCACGUUCUCUGAA